This 303-nucleotide ribosomal RNA is filed under the name Triticum aestivum (bread wheat). RNAcentral describes it as "partial small subunit ribosomal RNA". The record is from RNAcentral. Lineage: Eukaryota; Viridiplantae; Streptophyta; Magnoliopsida; Poales; Poaceae.
AUGUUGAUGCUAAGGGCAGCGCCGAUGUCCUACGCCAAGGUGGACAAGGUGGACGCCGAGGAGGCGCGGCACUGGAAGGCGCAGUUCCUGAUCCACAAGGCGCUCGAGACGGGGCCGACUAGGCGGCCGCCGGCGGCGGCGCCAUUGGCGAGGGCUGGCGGCUGCAGGGUCGUCAGGGCGGUGAGGAUCGGCAUCCGGCUCAAGAGGCUCAGGAUCGCCGUCCGGAGCUUCAGGCUGCGCGUCUGCCGGAGCGUCCUCAAGCACCUCAAGAAUCUCAGGAGGCUCGGGUCUCCUCGUUCUUGA